Molecule: ribosomal RNA, 429 nt
Filed under: Actinomycetes bacterium
Lineage: Bacteria; Bacillati; Actinomycetota; Actinomycetes
Description: Actinobacteria bacterium partial 16S ribosomal RNA
Rfam family: Bacterial small subunit ribosomal RNA
Source: RNAcentral
UAGGGAAUCUUCCGCAAUGGGCGAAAGCCUGACGGAGCAACGCCGCGUGAGUGAUGAAGGUCUUCGGAUCGUAAAACUCUGUUAUUAGGUAAGAACAAAUGUGUAAGUAACUAUGCACGUCUUGACGGUACCUAAUCAGAAAGCCACGGCUAACUACGUGCCAGCAGCCGCGGUAAUACGUAGGUGGCAAGCGUUAUCCGGAAUUAUUGGGCGUAAAGCGCGCGUAGGCGGUUUUUUAAGUCUGAUGUGAAAGCCCACGGCUCAACCGUGGAGGGUCAUUGGAAACUGGAAAACUUGAGUGCAGAAGAGGAAAGUGGAAUUCCAUGUGUAGCGGUGAAAUGCGCAGAGAUAUGGAGGAACACCAGUGGCGAAGGCGACUUUCUGGUCUGUAACUGACGCUGAUGUGCGAAAGCGUGGGGAUCAAACAGG